CCUACGGGUGGCAGCAGUGGGGAAUAUUGCGCAAUGGGCGAAAGCCUGACGCAGCGACGCCGCGUGAGGGAUGAAGGUCUUCGGAUCGUAAACCUCUGUCAGCAGGGAAGAACGGUCACUGUGCUAAUCAGCAGUGACUUGACGGUACCUGCAAAGGAAGCACCGGCUAACUCCGUGCCAGCAGCCGCGGUAAUACGGAGGGUGCGAGCGUUAAUCGGAAUUACUGGGCGUAAAGCGCUCGUAGGCGGUAUGUCAAGUCAAGGGUGAAAUCCCCGCGCUCAACGUGGGAACUGCCUGUGAAACUGGCAAACUGGAGUGUGUGAGAGGAUAGUGGAAUUCCAGGGGUAGGAGUUAAAUCCGUAGAUAUCUGGAGGAACAUCAGUGGCGAAGGCGACUAUCUGGCACAUAACUGACGCUGAGGAGCGAAAGCGUGGGUAGCAAACAGGAUUAGAUACCCGAGUAGUC
RNAcentral lists this ribosomal RNA (465 nucleotides) under uncultured bacterium. RNAcentral describes it as "partial 16S ribosomal RNA". It matches the Rfam family "Bacterial small subunit ribosomal RNA", at positions 338 to 795 of the family's 1533-position model. The record is from RNAcentral.